CAGAGACUGCAAGCGUUAUUCGGAUUCACUGGGCGUAAAGGGUGCGCAGGCGGUCGGGUGUGUCAGAUGUGAAAUCCCGAGGCUCAACCUCGGAACUGCGUCUGAAACUACUCGACUAGAGUACUGGAGAGGGUAACGGAAUUCACGGUGUAGCAGUGAAAUGCGUAGAUAUCGUGAGGAACACCAGAGGCGAAGGCGGUUACCUGGACAGUUACUGACGCUCAGGCACGAAAGCAUGGGGAGCAAAAGGGAUUAGAUACCCCUGUAGUCCAUGCCCUAAACGGUGCACACUAGGUCUUAGCGGAUUCGACCCCACUAGGGCCCAAGCUAACGCGUUAAGUGUGCCGCCUGAGGACUACGGUCGCAAGACUA
This 372-nucleotide ribosomal RNA is filed under the name uncultured organism. RNAcentral describes it as "bacterial SSU rRNA". It matches the Rfam family "Bacterial small subunit ribosomal RNA", at positions 526 to 896 of the family's 1533-position model. The record is from RNAcentral.